Molecule: ribosomal RNA, 459 nt
Filed under: Klebsiella pneumoniae
Lineage: Bacteria; Pseudomonadati; Pseudomonadota; Gammaproteobacteria; Enterobacterales; Enterobacteriaceae
Description: bacterial SSU rRNA
Rfam family: Bacterial small subunit ribosomal RNA
Source: RNAcentral
CCUACGGGUGGCUGCAGUGAGGAAUAUUGGUCAAUGGACGCAAGUCUGAACCAGCCAAGUAGCGUGCAGGAUGACGGCCCUAUGGGUUGUAAACUGCUUUUAUAUGGGGAUAAAGUGGGGAACGUGUUCCCUUUUGCAGGUACCAUAUGAAUAAGGACCGGCUAAUUCCGUGCCAGCAGCCGCGGUAAUACGGAAGGUUCGGGCGUUAUCCGGAUUUAUUGGGUUUAAAGGGAGCGUAGGCCGUUUGGUAAGCGUGUUGUGAAAUGUAGGAGCUCAACUUCUAGAUUGCAGCGCGAACUGUCAGACUUGAGUGCGCACAACGUAGGCGGAAUUCAUGGUGUAGCGGUGAAAUGCUUAGAUAUCAUGAAGAACUCCGAUUGCGAAGGCAGCUUACGGGAGCGCAACUGACGCUGAAGCUCGAAGGUGCGGGUAUCGAACAGGAUUAGAUACCCUUGUAGU